CUGGCGCUGUGGAGGUUCCAAUGGCCGCCAUGUUGUCUCAGAGGGACACACCACAGGCUUCUGGAACUCUGGCUCCAUUUUGUGGGUGCAAGUUUCUGGCUUCCGUUUUAAAGAGCAAGAGAACCUAUCAGCGUUGUCAAUUCUAAGAAAGUGAGUGCCAAGAGCAGGCUGUACAAGAAGCAUGGCACAAGAAUCUGCUUCUGAAGAGGGCUUCAGGAAGCUUCCACUCAUGGUGGAAAAGGAAGGAGAGCAGGUAUCACAGCGCAAGAAAGAAGAAAUUGUUCCACUCCAUAAGUUCCCUCCUGGAGGAUGUGUGAGACACCAGGCUGCAUGUUAGAAACGGCUGUGCUCCGGAAGGCUACCAGGGUCAUCGUGAGGGCCUUGCAGAUUUCAGAAAUGAAGUGACCUGCCUUGAGUCUUCCCUCAGCCUCCUCACUCCACUGUAGUCUCAGGAGAGUGAGGACAACAAAACUCUCUUCUCCCCACAUUACCACUUCAGCGCUGACCUGUGGCUUGAGAAUCUAAUCUGUGUGCACCGUGGCAAAGUCUUGGUUUUACAGGUCUCACCUGACAGCUAGUCCUGAUUUUUCCAUGAUGUGUGGGUAAAAAGUGGGUUCUUGAAGGGAAACCUCAAUGUAGCUUAGCUCUUGAGAAAACAGUAUGUGCAUAUGCUUC
Homo sapiens (human) is the source of this 675-nucleotide long non-coding RNA. Lineage: Eukaryota; Metazoa; Chordata; Mammalia; Primates; Hominidae. The record is from Ensembl.